AUUGAACGCUGGCGGCACGCCUAACACAUGCAAGUCGAGCGGUAACAGGAUUAGUAGCAAUACUAGUUGCUGACGAGCGGCGGACGGGUGAGGAAGACGUAGGAACUUGCCUAAUAGAGGGGGAUAACCAAGGGAAACUUUGGCUAAUACCGCAUACAUUCGAGAGAAGAAAGGCGCUGAAAGGCGUCGCUAUUAGAGAGGCCUGCGUCCGAUUAGCUAGUUGGUGAGGUAAGAGCUCACCAAGGCGAUGAUCGGUAACUGGUCUGAGAGGACGGCCAGUCACACUGGGACUGAGACACGGCCCAGACUCCUACGGGAGGCAGCAGUGGGGAAUAUUGGACAAUGGGGGCAACCCUGAUCCAGCGAUGCCGCGUGGGUGAAGAAGGCCUUCGGGUUGUAAAGCCCUUUAGGCCGGGACGAAAGCAGAUGGAGGAAAUGCCAUUUGGUUGACGGUACCGGCAGAAUAAGCACCGGCAAACUCUGUGCCAGCCGCCGCCGUAA
RNAcentral lists this ribosomal RNA (501 nucleotides) under uncultured bacterium. RNAcentral describes it as "partial 16S ribosomal RNA". It matches the Rfam family "Bacterial small subunit ribosomal RNA", at positions 29 to 523 of the family's 1533-position model. The record is from RNAcentral.